GAUGAAGAACGUAGCGAAAUGCGAUAAGUAAUGUGAAUUGCAGAAUUCAGUGAAUCAUCGAAUCUUUGAACGCACAUUGCGCCCGCCAGUAUUCUGGCGGGCAUGCCUGUUCGAGCGUCAUUACAACCCUCAGGCCCCCGGGCCUGGCGUUGGGGAUCGGCGGAGCCCCCCGUGGGCACACGCCGUCCCCCAAAUACAGUGGCGGUCCCGCCGCAGCUUCCAUCGCGUAGUAGCUAACACCUCGCGACUGGAGAGCGGCGCGGCCACGCCAUAAAACACCCAACUCUUCUGAAGUUGACCUCGAAUCAGGUAGGAAUACCCGCUGAACUUAAGCAUAUCAAUAAGCGGAGGA
RNAcentral lists this unclassified non-coding RNA (352 nucleotides) under soil metagenome. RNAcentral describes it as "partial contains 5.8S ribosomal RNA, internal transcribed spacer 2, and large subunit ribosomal RNA". The stretch from base 1 to 120 matches the Rfam family "5.8S ribosomal RNA", at positions 35 to 154 of the family's 154-position model. The record is from RNAcentral.